This 253-nucleotide ribosomal RNA is filed under the name uncultured bacterium. Its description in RNAcentral is "partial 16S ribosomal RNA". It matches the Rfam family "Bacterial small subunit ribosomal RNA", at positions 524 to 776 of the family's 1533-position model. The record is from RNAcentral.
UACGGAGGUGGCUAGCGUUACUCGGAAUUAUUGGGUGUAAAGGGCAAGUAGGCGGUCUAAUAAGUGGGGGGUGAAAUACUCCGGCUCAAUCGGAGAACAGCCUUCCAAACUGCUAGACUUGAGUAUGACAGAGGAAAAUGGAAUUCUAGGUGUAAGGGUGAAAUCUGUAGAUAUCUAGAAGAACACCAGCUGCGAAGGCGAUUUUCUGGGUCAUUACUGACGCUAAAUUGCGAAAGCUAGGGGAGCAAACAGA